Long non-coding RNA from Bufo bufo (common toad), 561 nucleotides. RefSeq lists it as uncharacterized. The transcript has 3 exons. Lineage: Eukaryota; Metazoa; Chordata; Amphibia; Anura; Bufonidae. The record is from RefSeq and is a predicted model, not a curated record.
UUGCUUGCACUAUUGGAUGAACAGGAGUCAAGUGGUGAUGAUUUUCCUGCAUCAUUGAUCCCCAAAUCAAGGAAAUUUUCCCCCUUCUCCUUGUUUCCGGAUAUAGACCUAUUCGUCAGACUGUUGAGACCCUCCCGUCGCAUCUAAAAGAUACCACAGAUGUAUUGAGAAAAAUGGAAGGGAUGCAAUUGGACCCGGAGAUGAUAAUAGCAACAUGUGAUGUGGAAUUACUGUACACCUCCAUACGGCAUACGGAUGGCCUAGCGGCAGUUGAAUUUUUCUUAAGAUCAUCUGAAAUUCAGGAAGAUAGAUGAAUCUAGUUGACCACAUCCCAGUGGGACAGUUUCUGUGGGUAAAAAGAGUAUGCUCCACCAAGGCAGCGUUUGAAACGCAAGCAGAGAUUUUAUGGAGACGUUUUCAACAACGGGGGUACAAGGAGACGGACAUCAGGAGGGCAUAUGAAUGAGCAAAAUUUAUGGAUCGGAAUAACCUUCUGUAUCCCAGGGCCGAUAAGAUGACACAAGCCAAGAAGGAGGAGAAAAUGAGAUUUAUCACGGAAUA